CUUAUCUAUUAAUUUUUCUGCUUUUAUUUUCUGAUUAUGCCUAAUUUAAAAGUGUUUUGGGGUUACAUUUAGUCAUACAUAUAUGGUUGUUUGAGCCUUUUAUUAGCCAUGAUUCACUGUGCAUAUCAGCACAGCGUGGAGCUGGUGCCUUCAGCGUGUGUCUGCUCCAGGAUGCUCAGUUAUCUCCCUGCCCCGAGCUAUCCAAAGGAUGGAUUUGCAUGGACACUGCUCCCCCACGGAGGAGAAUGCCAGGAAUGACCGGUCUGGUGCUACCUGGCCAGGUGAGCUUCCAUUCAAAUAAUGCACAUGCCACCAGGACAAUUCAGAUCAAAGGUCUGCCUUUGACAGAAUUCAAAUGUAAGGACUUCCAAAGCAGAUUUAGCAGCUGGCUUUACGAAUGAACUUAUGUCAGCUGCUCUGUAUGAUGAGUGACUAAAUGACUUCUGUAUCUAAUCUUAUCUCACUAUCUGUCUGUCUGUUUUUCAGCAUUUCAGUGCCCAUCACCACAUUAUCCAGGCGCCACCAGAAGAUUAAGAAGCUUUGCAGUGACAUUCUCAACCAGAUAUUUACCUGGAUUUUGCCGCUGGUCCCAUGGCCACAGCUGAAGGGAAAUUCCCUCUCUGGUGUCACCCAGCCAGGACACCUGGGCUCAGAAUCCCUGUCAGAAACGUCCACCCCCAGUUGUGUGAGGAUGGCAGAGGCUGGAGAAACGAGCAAAACUCAUUUUCUGCCGGAGCCGCCGGAGCCACCGCGCCCCUUGCGCUUCGCAAAGCGGCUCCAGGCACUUUCUCUGCUUCUUGUGAUUCCCUUCCUGAAUUGCUGCAGCCAAGUAAUUGUUUCAUCAUGUUGCUCUGAAAUAUUUUCCCAUCGUGUCACCAUGGCGUUCAUUUUUCAAACCAAAGUUCCUCUGCUCGCUUUUAGCAGCCGCAUCCCAAAGCAGCGGCGCCAGGUGUGGAGGGAGCGCGGCUGCCGGGGCUCGGGGCUCGGGGCGCAUUUUGGGAUUCCCGUCACUGUCACUGCUGGGCACCGCUCACCACGGCCAGAAUGAGCUGCUGUUGCAACGCCCUGGCAAAGGCAGCUUUUUGUUUUAUAGCAAACAAACAAGUCUGGGUCCGUGUGGGGCUGGGACCGGAGCCUCCCGCGGCCGCCUGGCCAAAGCCCCGCUCGCUGCAGCGGUGUCUGAGCUCCAGCCCAUCCCUGCCAGGGCUGAGCCAGAGCUUCUCCAGCCUCCCCUCCCACGGGAUUUAUUCUGCAAAGUGUGUGAAAUUAGGAGACACAACUAAAUCCUCUGAUUAAAUACCCUGAACUCUG
Long non-coding RNA from Parus major (Great Tit), 1311 nucleotides. RefSeq lists it as uncharacterized. The transcript is spliced from 3 exons. The record is from RefSeq and is a predicted model, not a curated record. Lineage: Eukaryota; Metazoa; Chordata; Aves; Passeriformes; Paridae.